ACACUUAGCAAUGGAAAAAAAAGUUUAGAAAUAAAUUAUAAAAAACAGAUAAAAUAUCGGUUGGAUUAUGUUGGAAGAGAGAAAGCAAAUUUCAAUUUUUUAAAACUUAAAACAUACCCCCACAAUCAAUAGGUGACAAGUGGCAUGGUGGUAAAAAAAUAAAAGGAAAAAAACUCUUUUGUCCACCACAUGAUGAAUGCAACAUCAUAUCUCUCUCCCUUCAUUUCCAAUUUUUUUAGUGAUAAUUUAAUGCUCUUAAUUUAAAGAUACAAGGAAAUAAACUCAACGUCUCUCUCCUCCUACUCGAUCCAAUCAAGACUUUCAUCAGUUAUUGCAUCAAUUAAUCUUAUUAUUAAUAAAUAAAUAAAAACUCUUUUUUCAAAAAGGAAAAAAACAAGACACAGUUAAAGAGAGAGAACUAGGACUUCUUCCUCAUUCCAUCGUUCUCUUCAAAUCCUCUCUGACUCUCUUUAUUUGUAAAAACAAAACUCACAAAAAAGGAAACUUCAUGGAAAAAGAAAAAUGCUAGCUGAAACGCAUCAUCGUGUGAAUCCAUACAAAACAAAACAUUAACGCUGAAGCAAAACCGGGGGAACACCCAAUUCCUUGAAAC
This 613-nucleotide long non-coding RNA is filed under the name Lathyrus oleraceus (garden pea). RNAcentral describes it as "Pisum sativum (pea) long non-coding RNA (PSAT_LNC020090)". The record is from RNAcentral. Lineage: Eukaryota; Viridiplantae; Streptophyta; Magnoliopsida; Fabales; Fabaceae.